AGAGAGAGAGAGAGAGAGAGAGAGAGAGAGACAGAGAGAGAGAGACAGAGAGAGACAGAGAGAGAGAGAGAGAGAGAGAGAGAGGCAGAGAGGCAGAGAGAGAGAGGCAGAGAGAGAGAGGCAGAGAGAGAGGCAGAGAGAGAGAGGCAGAGAGUACAUUAAAUAUUCUAUUUUUUUGAGUUCUAAUUAACUUGCUAUCCGAUUGCAGUUUGAAAUUUAUAGCUUAAGUUAACUGGGACGACUUGUACACUCCUCGAAAUCACCCCUCCCGACCCUCCCCAUUUCCUUCCUUGACAACCGCCCAUUUUUCAAAACAGCCGCCUACUUUUUCGACACAGCCGCCUACUCAAAAUAAUUCUGAAAGCCCUGCAGUAUACCUGUAAUUUCCAAUGUUACCAUGCGAUUGCCGCACUGGCCUAUCGCGGUGCAACUCUAAUUAUAUUGCCUAUAAC
Paramuricea clavata is the source of this 452-nucleotide non-coding RNA. The record is from the annotation of a GenBank genome assembly. Lineage: Eukaryota; Metazoa; Cnidaria; Anthozoa; Malacalcyonacea; Plexauridae.